RNAcentral lists this long non-coding RNA (4689 nucleotides) under Bos grunniens (domestic yak). Its description in RNAcentral is "lncRNA (ENSBGRG00000008230.1)". The record is from RNAcentral. Lineage: Eukaryota; Metazoa; Chordata; Mammalia; Artiodactyla; Bovidae.
AGGCAUUACCCAUAAGUUGACUGAAUUAGUAAUCAAGUUAUAUAUUUAAAUGUCUGCUGAGAAAAUGUGGUCCUUUUGUUUCCUUGCUGUUUACAAAACCAACACAUGAAAAAGUUGCUGCCUGUCUAACAAAUGGUUAGUGACUUCCAACAAGGCGAAAUAUCCACUCAUUCUGAAGAAAUGAGACAAGUAGUCCAAUCACUUUCCUGGAGAGUGCCACUAGACAAUGUGAAAUUUUCACAUUAUGCCAUGAGUUAUGAAUCAUCACUCAAUUCAAGACGAAGAGAAAUCUUCCGCUUGUUUAGGGAGAAGUCAUUUUCCUGUGAGGACCACUUGCCUGUAUGAAAUACUCUGGUUUGACUGUGCUUUGCAGAGUAUUAGCGCCACCCGACUUCCCAGGUGGUAUCAGUGAUAAAGAAUCCCCCUGCCAAUGCAGGAGACGUAAGAGACAGGGGUUCAAUCCCUGGGUUGGGAAGAUCCCCUGGAGGAGGGCACGGCAACCGACUCCAGUAUUCUUGCCUGGAGAAUCCCACGGUCAGAGGAGCCCGGUGGGCUACAGUCCGUAGGGUCACAAAGAGUUGGACACAACUGAAGCGACUUAACUUGCACACACAGACUGACCUUAAACAUCUGCGGAUGAACAUCACUUCUGUUGAUAUACAAAUGGCUUUUAUGACCUGUGAUGAAACGUGCUUAACAGGCUGGGAUAGUGCAGUAACUUGGGUUAACAACAGUCUAUUAUGGUACCUCGUGCGAAGAGUUGACUCAUUGGAAAAGACUCUGAUGCUGGGAGGGAUAGGAGGCAAGGUUCAAUUGUAUGUAAUAUCAGUAGAUACAAAGUUUUAACAAAGGUCUGCAAACUUACAGGUAUUCUUGAUCAAAGGUAUCUAUUUCAUUUUAUUAGACUUAGAUCUAAGAACAACUAGGCAUAGAAUUAAUUAGUCAAAGGACUGGAUCAAUGUCAAACAGCUAACUGUUUCAUUCAGAUUUAGUUUUCCAGAACAUAAAAGAAUAUAGCUUUGCAAUAAAAGAUUUAUAUGUUCCAAACACAGAUCAGUCACUUCCUAAAUUUAUGGACUUAACCUCCUUUAAACUUCAAUCCUGUUGUUGGGAAAAAAGGUUACAAGUUAGUCAUAAGGAUUCAGUAGGAUUUUACAUGAAAAAUGCUUAGCCAUGAUCUUAGUUUUCUGAAUAUUGACUUUUAAGCCAACUUUUCACUCUCCUCUUUUAAUUUCAUCAAUAGGCUCUUUAGUUCCUCUUCACUUUCUGCCAUUAGCGUGGUAUCAUCUGCAUAUCUGAGGUUAUUGAUAUUUCCCCUGGCAAUCUUGAUUCCAGCUUAAGCUUCAUCCUUCCUGACAUUUUGCAUAAUGUACACUGCAUAAAAGUUAAAUAAGUAGAGUGACAACAUAUAGCCUUGAUGUACUCCUUUCCCAAAUUUGAACCAGUCCAUUGUUCCAUGUCUGGUUCUAACUGCUGCUUCUUGACCUGCAUAUAGCUUUCUCAGGAGGCAGGUAAGAUGGUCUGGUAUCCUUAUCUCUUUAAGAAUUUUCCAAAGUUUGCUGUGAUCCACAGAGUCAAAGGCUAAUUUAGCAUAAUCAAUAAUGCAGAAGUAGAUGUUUUUCUGGAAUUCUCUUAUUUUUCUAUGAUCCAAUGGAUGUUGGCAAUUUGACCUGUGGUUCCUCUGCCUUUUCUAAAUCUAGUCUGAACAUCUGGAAGUUACUGGUUUGUGUAAUGCUGAAGUCAAGCCUGAAAGAUAUUGUGCAUUACCUUGCUAGCAUGUGAAAUGAGUACAAUUUUACAGUGGUUUAAACAAUGCUUGGCAUGUUUAUUGCCCUUAUUUGGGAUUGGAAUGAAAACUAAACUUUUCCAGUCCUGUGGCCACUGCUGAGUUUUCCAAAUGUGCUGGUAUAUUGAGUGCAGCACUUUAACAGCAUUAUCUUUUAGGAUUUGAAAUAGAUCAGCUGGAAUUUCGUUACCUCCACUAGCUUUGUUUGUAGUAAUGUUUCCUAAAACCCAUUUGACUUCACACUUCAGGAUUCAAAGUUCUACAUGAGUUCAUGACUUCAGGAUGUCUGGUUCUACAUGAGUGACCACACCAUUGUGGUUAUUUGGGUCAUUAAGACUUUUCUUGUAUAGUUCUUCUGUGUAUUCUUGCCACCUCUUCUUAAUCUUUUCUGCUUCCCUGAGGUCCUUAACAUUUCUGUCCUUUAUUGUGUCCACCUUUGCAUGAAAUAUUCCUUUGGUAUCUACAAUUUUCUUGAAGAGAUCUCUAGCCCUUUUCAUUUUAUUAUUUUUCUCAAUUUCUUUGCAUUGUACACUUAAGAAGGCUUUCUUGUUUCUCCUUGCUAUUGUCUGGAACUCUGCAUUCAGUUGGGCAUAUCCUUCCCUUUCUCUUUUGACUUUUGCUUUUCUUUUUUUCUCAGCUAUUUGUAAGGCCUCCUCAGACAACCACUUUGCCUUCUUGAAUGUAUUUUUCUUUGGGAUGAUUUUGGUCACUGGAUCCUAUACAAUUUUAUAAAUGUCCAUCCAUAGUUGUUCAGGGACUCUCUCUACCAGAUCUUAUAUCUUGAAUUUAUUCAUCACCUCCACCGUAAAAAUCAUAAGGGAUUUGAUUUAGGUCAUACUUCAAUGGCCUAGUGGCUUUCUCUACUUUCUUCAAUUUAACUUUGAAUUUUGCAUAAGGAACUCAUGGUCUGAGCCACAGUCAGCUCCAGGUCUUGUUUUUGCUGAUUGUACAGAGCUUCUCCAUCUUUGGCUGCAAAGAAUACAAUCAAUCUGAUUUUGGUACUGACCAUCUGGUGAUGUCCAUGUGUAGAGUCAUCUCUUUUGUUGUUGGAAUCCAUUCUAACAUAUGAAUUGAUUUCCCCUACAUUUUACAUAAUGAAGUGGAAGAGCCAAAAUUCAAACCCAAUUUGUUUGACUGGAAUCCAGUGCUUUUUUCACUCUAUAUUUACUAUGUCGUAAAUGAUAGCCUAGCUGAAAUGAAAGUUGUAAAAUUAACUUAUCGUUAAGUAAUACAUAUUUAUAGUUUCUGCAGUGAAUUCCUAACUAGUUCAUCUCAGUGUUUAAUCAAGAUUUCCCGAUGCCUAAAAAGUACUGAAAUUUGCCCAAAACUCAACUCCUUUACCCCUCAUACCCCCAGCAUCUACUACAGUAUUUCCCAUCACCAUAAAUGGAAAUUCCAACCUUCCAAUUGCUCUGCUGCUGCUAAGUCGCUUCAGUUGUGUCCGACUCUGUGCGACCCCAUAGAUGGCAGCCCACCAGGCUCCCCCGUCCCUGGGAUUCUCCAGGCAAGAACACUGAAGUGGGUUGCCAUUUCCUUCUCCAAUGCAUGAAAGUGAAAAAAUAAAGUGAUGUCACUCAGUCGUGUCCGACUCCUAGCGACCCCAUGGACUGCAGCCCAACAGGCACUUCUGUCCAUGGGAUUUUCCAGGCAAGAGUACUGGAAUGGGGUGCCAUUGCCUUCUUCAUCCAAUUGCUCUAAAUGUCCCCAUUUCAGAGAGAUCUACAUUGGUCAAAACGGCCAUCUUUAAAAUUCUACAAAUAGUAAAUUCUGGAGAAUGUGUGGAGAAAGGGAAUCUUCUUACACUGUUGACGAGAAUGUAAAUGGAUAGAGCCACUGUGGAGAACAGUAUGGAUGUUCCCUAAAAACUAAAACUAGAACUACUGUAUCAUCCAGCAAUCCCACUCCUGACAUAUAUCUGGAGAAAACCAUAAUUCAAAAAGAUACAUGCCCCUGAUGUUCACACCAGCACUAGUUACAAUCAUGGAGACAUGGAAGCAACCUAAAUGUCAAUUGACAGAGGAGUGGAUAGGGUACAUCUGCUACAUAUACACAAUAGAAUAUUACCCAGCCACAAAAAAGAAAUAUGAUUUGCAGCAACACAGACGGACCUAGAGAUUUCCAAAAGUGAAGUAAGUCAGACAAUGGAAGACAUAUCGUAUGAUAACACUUAUAUAUGGAAUAUAAAGUAUAUGAUAAAAAUCAAUUUAUUUACAAAACAGAAAUAGACUCACAGACUUUCCAAACAAAGUUACAGCUACCAAAGGGAAAAGGUUGGGCACAGUGAUAAACUAGGAGUUUUGGAUUAUCCUACAUACACUACAAAGUGUAGGAUAACCCACAAGCACUACAUGCGUAUCUAAAGUAGCUAAUCAACAAGGACUUACUAUAUAGCACAGGGAAUGCUACUCAAUAUUCUGUAAUAACCUAUAUGGGACAACGAUCUGAAAAGGAAUGGAUUGUAUGUAUAUGUAUAACUGAACCACUUUGCUGUACACCUGAAGCUAGAAUAACAUUGUACAUCAACUAAAUCCCAAUACAAAAUACAAAUCAAAAGAAAAAAAUGAAAAAAAACAACCUGUUGAUUCUAUCUGUAAAUCUACUUAUGAAAACAGGCAGGUUAUCUCUAGGAUCUGCCCUUAGUACCAGAAUAUAAGUUUUCACUUAGAACGCUGUUUCCCUCAUGGCUGUUAUAACACCAGUAACAUGAAGCUUUAUAAAUACACAGAGUAUUAAAGGCUUCAGUUCAGUUCAGUUUAGUCACUCAGUCAUGUCUGACUCUUUGUGACCCCAUGAAUCACAGCACGCCAGGCCUCCCUGUCCAUCACCAACUCCCGGAGUUCACCCAGACUCACAUCCAUUGAGUCAGUGAUGCCAUCCAGCCAUCUCAUCCUCUGUCCUCCCUU